Molecule: long non-coding RNA, 366 nt
Filed under: Homo sapiens (human)
Lineage: Eukaryota; Metazoa; Chordata; Mammalia; Primates; Hominidae
Description: non-protein coding lnc-PGA3-2:1
Source: RNAcentral
GGAGAGGGAGAGGGCGAGGAGGGAGAGGGAGAGGGCGAGGGAGAGGGAGAGGGAGAGGGCGAGGGCGAGGGCGAGGGAGAGCCUGGUUUCUCACUUCUGCUUCCUCCUUGUGGCUCCCACGCUGUGCCGAGCCAUUCAGCCUGCACAAUCCAGACAAUGGAUUUGCCUCUGAAGUAGGGGCUGGCAGCUGCCUACAAAAUUAUCCGUUCUCUGUUUUUCCUUAAAAACAGUACAUUUCAUUCAGGAUAGCAAUGUGUCCAGUCAGCUAAAAGACUGCAUUUCCCAACCUCCUUUGCUGUUAGUUGUGACUAGGUGACUGUGAUAUAAGCAGGAGUGUUGAGGGGGAUUUCCUGGAAGGCUGCUUUA